RNAcentral lists this long non-coding RNA (200 nucleotides) under Ananas comosus (pineapple). RNAcentral's name for it is "long non-coding RNA (ACOM_LNC002751)". The record is from RNAcentral. Lineage: Eukaryota; Viridiplantae; Streptophyta; Magnoliopsida; Poales; Bromeliaceae.
GUUUCUCAAAGUGAGUAUGUCUCGGCCUGCUUGGUAUAGCUUCUGAAACAGUUUUUCUAUUAAUCUAUAAGUAGAAGUCGACGUUAAUUUGUGAGGAAGCUUUUGCUUUUAGAUAAAAUAGAAAGUAUAUACUUUGUUUUAAAACUUUUGAUAGAAAAACUCGUUAAUACAUCAGCAAAUAACUUUACGCAAUUAGCGGU